GACGAACGCUGGCGGCGUGCUUAACACAUGCAAGUCGAACGGUAAGGCCCUUCGGGGUACACGAGUGGCGAACGGGUGAGUAACACGUGGGUGAUCUGCCCUGCACUUCGGGAUAAGCCUGGGAAACUGGGUCUAAUACCGGAUAGGACUCCUGGCUUCAUGGUUGGGGGUGGAAAGCUUUUGCGGUGUGGGAUGGGCCCGCGGCCUAUCAGCUUGUUGGUGGGGUAAUGGCCUACCAAGGCGACGACGGGUAGCCGGCCUGAGAGGGUGACCGGUCACACUGGGACUGAGAUACGGCCCAGACUCCUACGGGAGGCAGCAGUGGGGAAUAUUGCACAAUGGGCGCAAGCCUGAUGCAGCGACGCCGCGUGAGGGAUGACGGCCUUCGGGUUGUAAAGCUCUGUCUUCGGGGACGAUAAUGACGGUACCCGAGGAGGAAGCCACGGCUAACUACGUGCCAGCCGCCGCCGUAA
This 473-nucleotide ribosomal RNA is filed under the name uncultured bacterium. RNAcentral describes it as "partial 16S ribosomal RNA". It matches the Rfam family "Bacterial small subunit ribosomal RNA", at positions 28 to 523 of the family's 1533-position model. The record is from RNAcentral.